This 498-nucleotide ribosomal RNA is filed under the name uncultured bacterium. RNAcentral's name for it is "partial 16S ribosomal RNA". It matches the Rfam family "Bacterial small subunit ribosomal RNA", at positions 29 to 523 of the family's 1533-position model. The record is from RNAcentral.
AUUGAACGCUGGCGGCAUGCUUUACACAUGCAAGUCGAACGGUAACAGGCCGCAAGGUGCUGACGAGUGGCGAACGGGUGAGUAAUGCAUCGGAACGUGCCCAGUCGUGGGGGAUAACGCAGCGAAAGCUGUGCUAAUACCGCAUACGAUCUAUGGAUGAAAGCGGGGGACCGUAAGGCCUCGCGCGAUUGGAGCGGCCGAUGGCAGAUUAGGUAGUUGGUGGGGUAAAGGCUCACCAAGCCAACGAUCUGUAGCUGGUCUGAGAGGCCGACCAGCCACACUGGGACUGAGACACGGCCCAGACUCCUACGGGAGGCAGCAGUGGGGAAUUUUGGACAAUGGGCGCAAGCCUGAUCCAGCAAUGCCGCGUGCAGGAAGAAGGCCUUCGGGUUGUAAACUGCUUUUGUACGGAACGAAAAGGUUUGGGUUAAUACCCUGGGCCGAUGACGGUACCGUAAGAAUAAGCACCGGCUAACUACGUGCCAGCAGCCGCCGCCG